AUAGGGAAGGGGGAGAGUGUAAGGGAAAGAUAACAAGUCUGUUGCAGUUCAACCCUCUUAUUUUACAGAUAAGGAGGAAAGGGAUCCCACUGAGUUGAAAUGACUUGUACAAGGCUACAAAGGCUUUACCAGAAUGCUGCCAAAGGUUCCCAUGGCAGAGAAAAAGAGACACUGUUUUCCCCAAUGACAUAUCCGUGGAAGCUCCUGGAAGGCAGAGACGAUUUAAUUUUCAUCUCUAUCCUCUGAUUAUAUACUACAUGCUUAGUAAAUGAUGUUUGAUCUUUUCUUGGGGUUUGGAUGCUGCUUUUCUUCUCCACUUCAUACUAUCAGACAACUUUCUCAACCAACCUGACCCUCUCCAAGGGUUCCCAAGUUUCCUUAUCCUCUGGUGGGGAGAAAUUGUUUAGAGGUUUGUUAAACUUUUAAGAAACCAGUUCUAUGUAAAAAGAAUUUUAGAAAGAAUGUUAACACUGUUUUGGAAUUUCAUUUCUUCUCUUGAUCAAGAGUUCAAAAAUGCUAUCUUGUUUAUUAUUGCUUCUGGCGGGGCCACAGACCCAUAGUCUAUAGGAAUGGAUGUUUUUGUCUUUAGUUAGAUGGAAUACAAAAUUGAGAAAAGACAAGAAAAGUCACUGGUUUCUGUUUCAAUACCAUGUAUCGAUUCCAAGGCAGAAGAGCGGAAAGGGGUAGUUAAGUGACUUUCUCACAGCUGGGAAGUGUUGGGGGCCCUAUUUGAACCCAGGACUUCCCAUCCCCUGGGCCUGGCUCUCCAUCCACUGAGCCAGCUAGCUGCACCCUGUCUUGUUUUAAUAAUUCUUUGGUACUUAAAGGGAUAAGAUGAUCUGUUCAUUUGAUCCACUGAGCACUGAUGGUGUGCCUCUUAGGUCCAGGCAGAUGUUAGUGGCUUCCCCUUCCUGACCAUCCCCUGUCCCUUUCUUUGUCGUCACCCUCCAGCCUCUAGGGCAGCCUAUUACCACAGGUCACUACAUACUGGUGUCCACCCCUCUAGUCUAAUAAUCCCUCUUGCCUGCAGCUGUCCAAGGCCAUUAAAGCAUCCCUCUGGCCAUGUUGCCUGGUACCACUGAUGCUUUCUUGCAUCCCUCCCAGUGGAGUGGAGGCUCCUCGAAGANUUUGUAAGACAGUAUAAUGCCCUUUUUCUAACUCGCUGCUUCCCGACUCAUUUCUGGGGGAUGUGGGACGAGAGAGGGAUGACCCAGCCUUACGCUGAAGUGAAUAAAGAGCAGAUACGCACUUAGCA
This 1255-nucleotide long non-coding RNA is filed under the name Monodelphis domestica (gray short-tailed opossum). RNAcentral's name for it is "lncRNA (ENSMODG00000040153.1)". The record is from RNAcentral. Lineage: Eukaryota; Metazoa; Chordata; Mammalia; Didelphimorphia; Didelphidae.